RNAcentral lists this unclassified non-coding RNA (254 nucleotides) under uncultured bacterium. Its description in RNAcentral is "contains 16S-23S intergenic spacer region". It matches the Rfam family "Bacterial small subunit ribosomal RNA", at positions 524 to 776 of the family's 1533-position model. The record is from RNAcentral.
UACGGAGGGUGCAAGCAUUAAUCGGAUUUAUUGGGCGUAAAGGGUGCGUAGGCCGCCUCUUAAGUCAGACGUGAAAUUCCCGGGCUUAACCUGGGGACUGCGUUUGAGUACUGAGAGGCUUGAGGCUAGGUAGGGAAAGUGGAAUUCCGCGUGUAGCGGUGAAAUGCGUAGAUAUGCGGAAGAACACCCGUGGUGAAGACGACUUUCUGGUCUAGACCUGACGCUGAGGCACGAAAGCAAGGGGAGCAAACAGG